UGAAACUCAGCAAUAAUGGUGUUCAUGGAACCAUCGGACCAAAACCUAUCGGAGAAAGACCGGAGGCAGACCAGGCAAAGCUUUGAGGGACCAUCUUGAGUGGUGGAGGCUCCUGGGGUCUCAAGGAUAGAGGGAAUCAGUGAGAUAAUGUUUCACGAUUGAUGAUGGUCGAAAGAGGUGAGGUUGGAGGUGGCCGGAGAGAUGGUGAAUCCCAUUGGAGAAAAACCAGAAGGUUCUAGAGAGAAG
This 246-nucleotide long non-coding RNA is filed under the name Nicotiana benthamiana. RNAcentral describes it as "long non-coding RNA (NBEN_LNC023792)". The record is from RNAcentral. Lineage: Eukaryota; Viridiplantae; Streptophyta; Magnoliopsida; Solanales; Solanaceae.